RNAcentral lists this ribosomal RNA (110 nucleotides) under uncultured Actinomycetes bacterium. RNAcentral's name for it is "uncultured actinobacterium partial 16S ribosomal RNA". It matches the Rfam family "Bacterial small subunit ribosomal RNA", at positions 389 to 517 of the family's 1533-position model. The record is from RNAcentral. Lineage: Bacteria; Bacillati; Actinomycetota; Actinomycetes.
CAGCACGCCGCGUGAGGGAUGAAGGCUCUCGGGUCGUAAACCCCUUUCAGCAGGGACGAAAAUGACGGUACCUGCAGAAGAAGCGCCGGCCAACUACGUGCCAGCAGCCG